This 301-nucleotide ribosomal RNA is filed under the name uncultured bacterium. RNAcentral describes it as "partial 16S ribosomal RNA". It matches the Rfam family "Bacterial small subunit ribosomal RNA", at positions 509 to 807 of the family's 1533-position model. The record is from RNAcentral.
CAGCAGCCACGGUAAUACGAAGGGUGCAAGCGCUAAUCGGAAUUACUGGGCGUAAAGCGUGCGUAGGUGGUGGUUUAAGUCCGUUGUGAAAGCCCUGGGCUCAACCUGGGAAUUGCAGUGGAUACUGGGUCACUAGAGUGUGGUAGAGGAUAGUGGAAUUUCCGGUGUAGCAGUGAAAUGCGUAGAGAUCGGAAGGAACAUCUGUGGCGAAGGCGACUAUCUGGGCCAACACUGACACUGAGGCACGAAAGCGUGGGGAGCAAACAGGAUUAGAGACCCCGGUAGUCCCUGUCUCUUAUAC